UCCUACGGGAGGCAGCAGUGGGGGAUAUUGCGCAAUGGGGGGAACCCUGACGCAGCAACGCCGCGUGGAGGAAGAAGGUCUUCGGAUUGUAAACUUCUUUGACACAGGACGAUAAUGACGGUACUGUGAAAACGAGCCACGGCUAACUACGUGCCAGCAGCCGCGGUAAUA
This 171-nucleotide ribosomal RNA is filed under the name uncultured Bacillota bacterium. Its description in RNAcentral is "uncultured Firmicutes bacterium partial 16S ribosomal RNA". It matches the Rfam family "Bacterial small subunit ribosomal RNA", at positions 337 to 525 of the family's 1533-position model. The record is from RNAcentral. Lineage: Bacteria; Bacillati; Bacillota.